GAUGAACGCUGGCGGCGUGCCUAAUACAUGCAAGUCGAGCGAACAGAUGAGGAGCUUGCUCCUCUGACGUUAGCGGCGGACGGGUGAGUAACACGUGGAUAACCUCCCUAUAAGACUGGGAUAACUUCGGGAAACCGGAGCUAAUACCGGAUAAUAUAUUGAACCGCAUGGUUCAAUAGUGAAAGACGGUUUUGCUGUCACUUAUAGAUGGAUCCGCGCCGCAUUAGCUAGUUGGUAAGGUAACGGCUUACCAAGGCGACGAUGCGUAGCCGACCUGAGAGGGUGAUCGGCCACACUGGAACUGAGACACGGUCCAGGCUCCUACGGGAGGCAGCAGUAGGGAAUCUUCCGCAAUGGGCGAAAGCCUGACGGAGCAACGCCGCGUGAGUGAUGAAGGUCUUCGGAUCGUAAAACUCUGUUAUUAGGGAAGAACAAAUGUGUAAGUAACUAUGCACGUCUUGACGGUACCUAAUCAGAAAGCCACGGCUAACUACGUG
Molecule: ribosomal RNA, 497 nt
Filed under: uncultured bacterium
Lineage: Bacteria
Description: partial 16S ribosomal RNA
Rfam family: Bacterial small subunit ribosomal RNA
Source: RNAcentral